AGCUAGGGUUCUACAGCUCUGUUUUCUGCCAGAGUAAGGCAUGUGUGAGAGGAGCUGCAUGCUUUUUCAAGAAAAUGUCUUCUGUAUAGUGCUGCCAGAGGAGGCAGGCCCUGAAUCCAAGGCAGAGUGUUGCUGUUCUGCCAAUGCCCAAAGACUUCAAAGAGGAUUGGACCCAACAGGCCGUGGGAUGUUCAAAUGCAAAGUAGGACAUGGCCAUGCAGUUGAGAGCUGGUGUAGCUGGUCCCUGAAGUGCCUGUGCCCUGCCUUGGUGGGAAUUCCUGCAGCAACACUUAAAAACAUACGAACUGGUUUGACAGCACUUCAUUUUGACACAAUGAGUUCCAAACAAACCUUGUGGGGCCGAUUUAUCUUUUUGCACAUGCUGUCUCUUAUAAUGUAAUCUGCUGGUAUUGGAGGAUGAAAACCAUUGUAGAAGGGAAAUCAUGAAAAAGAAGCGUGUUCCUCCAGCUGACUGGAGUCAGCUGACUUUAAUCCGCUCUAAUAUUUUAGUUUGAUUUCCUCAGGAAAUGAAGCCUAGCUGAUAGUAUGCAUCAAUCUGUUUUUUCCAUGUGUUGUUCCUCCCAACCAAUUUCAACCACAUUUAAAAGAGGGCGGAAAGCUGAAAAGUGAGUUUGCACCUGUAUGGUUCUUAAUAGCUGGUGAUUAGGUAAUGCCUCACUCUGUCCAUAGAGGAAAGGCACCUGGCGGCAGCUAGCCAGGCCAAAUGGUGUCUCUGUUUCGCACUGCAGUGUGCAUUUUGGUAAACUAGAAAACAAGUACACGCUUCUGGACUACCCGCAGCAAACAGUUUAUUUUUGCUGCAGGGGAUGUCAUAGGGAUAUGAUGGGAUCUGGUCUUGGGAAGGCAGGCUUUGUAAUUUCUGUUUGCAGAGCAGCUUGCUCUAAAGCAGUCUAAAAAGGAAUACUUCUGGAGUGGCAUUACUUCUUUAGUGGCAAGAAUCCUGCAUACCUUUCCUAUGCAUGCACAGUCACCUUAGCAUUCUAGGGGGAUUCAUAAGGAGACUUUCUCUCUUUAUUUUUUUCAUAGGAUUUGCCUAGAAGGUGUAGGACAGACUGGAUAUUGAACCAGAACAGCUGCUGCUGCCUGUUCCACCUGCGGGUACUUUUCUCCCCCACAUUGCUAUCACUAGGUCAAUGGUGUGGACCAACACCAUUGCAUCUCCAUCAACCUCUCUCCUUCCCCACUUGCAGGCCGGGCCCUUCAUUACCUGAAGUUUCCUCAGGUUUUGCAAAAGCCUCUGAAGACCCCGCAGGAGCCUGGACUCCUGCCUGCAGCCACACGUGCAGAAGGAUAUUUUGCCUGUUGGCUUCUGCCUGAACUUUCAGCCUUUGAGGGCCUCGCCUGUGGGUGGCUAAGCAGCAUCUGUGAUGUGUAAAUUGAGAUUGUUAUCUCCUAGCAGUGGCAUCCAGGCUGCCAUGACAACCAUGGUGAGGGCGCAGUGUGGCCCAGGAGGGGCCACCAGGUUGGGGGGCAGUCCGCCUGGACUGCCACCUCACAGUGACUUCUCAAAGGCUGCACAGCCUCCGUGUCCCCAGCUGCAAAAGGACACCUCUUUUGAAAUGCCUGGAGAGUGACUGAUGAAAAGCCCUGUGCGAAUGUUAAGUAGUACUUCAUUAUUGCUGCUCUUCUCACCAGAAGCAAUGAUUUCAGGGGGCAAUGAAGCUACAGGAGCUAAUUACUCCUUGGGAAGAAAGUUCAUCUUCUGUAAGGUAGGAGGAACCUGUGUUUGAAGGGAGAGGGGUAGUGGGAGAAACCUGUAAGCAAACAGUGGCUUUGCAAGCUGGAUUUCCUACAUGGAGUGAUUCCUUCUGGUCCCUCUGAAAUUGCACGGAAGUCAUGGGCGAUCCAGCAAAGAUUAAUGCAGCCUGAUGCAUGCUAUUUGCCCUGGAGGCCUUGGCAGCUCUGUAAUUACAAUCGGUGCGCCCAAGUCCCUCUCUGGCCCCUGCGUACUGCCUGGUGGUGCCACCAGCAUUGGAGAGACCCUGGAUUUGGGAUCUGUCAGGCAGAACUCUGCUGAGAAGUCAAACCUGCCCCUCUGCAUUUCUCACUGCAGCAAUGAGGCGCGCUCUCCUCCUUUGCUGAAUAAGUUCCCCAUGUCAGAUGGAGCCUUAGGGACUCCUGAGCCGAGCGUGGCUCAUAGACUUGUGAUCCAAGAGAGAUGUUUUCAGGGGAAGAAGAGAGCCAUAUUUCUAUAACAUAUAUAUUUAUAUAUAUAAAAAAAAUGAAAUAAAUGAGCAGGCUUGCAACA
Numida meleagris (helmeted guineafowl) is the source of this 2269-nucleotide long non-coding RNA. The record is from Ensembl. NCBI's taxonomy places the organism in Eukaryota, Metazoa, Chordata, Aves, Galliformes, Numididae.